This 417-nucleotide ribosomal RNA is filed under the name Triticum aestivum (bread wheat). Its description in RNAcentral is "partial small subunit ribosomal RNA". The record is from RNAcentral. Lineage: Eukaryota; Viridiplantae; Streptophyta; Magnoliopsida; Poales; Poaceae.
AUGGAGUUUCCGAUGCAGCCAAUGGGCAGAUCCAGUGUCCUUGAGGAAGUAGGAGAGAGCUUGGUGCCGGCCCCUGUGCCAAUGGCGCCGACGGGAGCCGGUAUGCUGACUCUCCUUCAGGUCGUAGGAGAUUGCAUCCUCCAAGAUUCCGUACGGCUCCAUUCUCUUUCUCAGCGUGCUCAUGCCCAACCAGAUUCCCCCUGCUGGAGGUGGGAGAGAGUCAACGGAUCCGCCACCGAAGGCCGCGACGAGCAAAGUCUUCGCGGCGGAGGAGGGACGGUCAAAUCCCAAUUGAUUUGUCAGCCUGCCAUGAGCAUGGACGGUGAAAUAUGUGCAGAAGAUUUACGUCUUGAGCAGAGACGUGAGAGCUUGCCACAAGCAUCAAUGGUCAAAAAGGUUUGUUCGUCGAUUGAAUGA